CUUGCUUUCUUUGCUGGCGACCGGCGCACGGGUGGGUAACACGUAUCCAACCUGCCCUUUACUCGGGGAUAGCCUUUCGAAAGAAAGAUUAAUACCCGAUAGCAUAAUGAUUCCGCAUGGUUUCAUUAUUAAAGGAUUCCGGUAAAGGAUGGGGAUGCGUUCCAUUAGGUUGUUGGUGAGGUAACGGCCCACCAAGCCUUCGAUGGAUAGGGGUUCUGAGAGGAAGGUCCCCCACAUUGGAACUGAGACACGGUCCAA
Molecule: ribosomal RNA, 258 nt
Filed under: uncultured bacterium
Lineage: Bacteria
Description: partial 16S ribosomal RNA
Rfam family: Bacterial small subunit ribosomal RNA
Source: RNAcentral